RNAcentral lists this long non-coding RNA (1274 nucleotides) under Pogona vitticeps (central bearded dragon). RNAcentral's name for it is "lncRNA (ENSPVIG00000014178.1)". Lineage: Eukaryota; Metazoa; Chordata; Lepidosauria; Squamata; Agamidae. The record is from RNAcentral.
UAGUCUAUAAUUAGUGGGUGGGGAGUGUUGGGGGAUUUUUUAGUGGGUGGGGAGUGUUUGGGGAAUUUUAUGUGUGUGCAUGUGUCUGGUCUCUGGGUGUCUGUGAAUUUCAUUGUAUGGGUAUACUGUGUAUAUACUUACAAUGACAAUAAGUUAAAUAAAUAAUUCCAGGGACAAAUUUUAAUCUGUGUCACUUUCAGCUUCCUGCUCCUGUGCUCUUCCCUGCCAGGCUGAAUGCCCUCCUGAAAUGGACAGUGAUUUGAUUGCAGGCACACAUCGUGGCACUUGACUGGCAGAGAGCUCAGUCCAUCAACACACAGAUUUCUUAUGUCCUGAAGAUCUGAAGGUGUGAAGCUGAUAUCAAAAGCUGCCAGGGUGUUGCUCAAUGUUCCAAAACAGAAGACUGCAUUCCUAUAAUGAGCCUCCAGAGUGUAAAUGGUCCAGGGACAACCUGGGCAGGAAGGAAAACGCCAGCAGAGUGGAUUCCUCACAUGUUUCUGAGUGCAGUCUUGAGAGAUAAUUAAUCACUGUGUUCUAGACCAGCCAUUCUCAAUUCUCGAAAACAUGGGUGACAUGGGAGGCCCUGGCAAUUCGAAGACUUGACUGAAAAAUAUGAUAAGUUUCUGAAAGGUAUCUGUUGGUAUUGUAUCCUUGUCUGACAGACAGCCCUGGACCUGAGAAGUGUUCCUAAAAGGGCCAUGGCCAAAAAAGCUUGAGAAUAGCUGUUGUAGCUAAUGAGUAUUUUUCAGUCUUCCAGCACCGUACAGUUAUAAUCAUAUCUGUCCCAGCUGUUAUGGUGACCAAGUUUUAGCAACAUUUUCAUUCCACAAAGCAGAUACUGCUUGGAUGUCCCCCUACAGUGUCACUAAAAUGCUUUGAAGUGCUCUGCUUCACAUAGGAUUGGGCAUUUGGAGAUUGUGAUUAAAGAAGUAGAGUGAAUUAUGGCUUCUAAGGGAUUGAUCUGUUGUUUCACUCAUGCAUCUGCACCUCCCUUUACAACUCCAUCUGUAAGUUCACAAAGAGUGUUCUUUGCUGCCCUUUCUCUUUAACUGUCCCUAUUGACACUUCAACAGAGAACAGAAUAGAUACCCUUCUUCUUUGCUCUGCAUCCUCAUUAAGAAGUGGAUUGCAGUGCUUUGCAAAAGAAAUGAUUCUGCCUCUUGAAUGACUGUUGUGCUGAUCUAUUCUUGCUUUACCCCGAACCAAAUGCAUUGCCAAGCAUCCCACUAGAGAAAAUCAUGAGCAUAAGAUCAAUCAUGCAAGCACUUUUUGGA